Strongylocentrotus purpuratus (purple sea urchin) is the source of this 494-nucleotide long non-coding RNA. RefSeq lists it as uncharacterized. The record is from RefSeq and is a predicted model, not a curated record. Lineage: Eukaryota; Metazoa; Echinodermata; Echinoidea; Camarodonta; Strongylocentrotidae. The transcript has 3 exons.
CUCUAUAUUCCGGUAUCUGUUACACCAAAGAGAUACCAGCAAAUUUGCACUCGGUGCACAAACUACCUCAGUCUCUCAAACUCGAUUGUACCAGGUUCACUUCUUACUCAAAUUAGAAUUCUAAAUUGCUGUGAAACUUCCGUCAUCAUUCAUCAGGCAAGAUGCAGCGUGUUCUUGUAAUAAUGAUCAUUUCUAUGAUUUUUGUGGCUGGUGUUCUGGAUGGAGCAGGGGGAAUGGAAAUUCAGAGGCGUCGUCCUCCUCAUGGCGUUGUGAGAGAAACCAGAGACGUGGCUGGGGAAAUGUCAUCCCUGAAAGUGACGAAGGAAGAAAACGAUCAGCUCAAGGAGGAGGAUUUGGGAGAUAAAUAAAGGUCACGCCAUCAGACGACCUGGGUGUAGCUUUAAUAACAAUGUCUUUAAAUUGAUAGCGAAAUUAUCAGCCUCCUGGGCACUCAUUGGGCUUGUUACAAGAUACAUGUAUGAUGUCCACUGCUC